GCUGCUGGCUGCAUGCUCUGCUGAGUCACUGGCCUUGGCAAGAGGCAUUGGCUGAGACCCGGUAGGCAGGUGAUGGACAGAUAAAACAGCUCUUCAAACCACGCUGUUCUUUAACAGGCAUCUUUUUUGCCGAAUCAGAAAUGGAGAGAACCUUCCUCGUGAAUCACACGUAGAACGCAUGCCUGCAUUCUGUCGAACGAAGCACACGAUUUGGAAUUAAACAAUCGGAUGGGAGUUUAAGCCACGGCACCCCAA
RNAcentral lists this long non-coding RNA (255 nucleotides) under Rattus norvegicus (Norway rat). RNAcentral's name for it is "long non-coding RNA NONRATT015818". The record is from RNAcentral. Lineage: Eukaryota; Metazoa; Chordata; Mammalia; Rodentia; Muridae.